Non-coding RNA from Procambarus clarkii (red swamp crayfish), 941 nucleotides. NCBI's taxonomy places the organism in Eukaryota, Metazoa, Arthropoda, Malacostraca, Decapoda, Cambaridae. The record is from RefSeq and is a predicted model, not a curated record.
GGUUGGCUGCUGGUUAUAAAAGAGACGACGAGACAAAACUCACUUCAGUGUGGUUUUACCUCACUUUUGGUAUACAGUUCCAGCUUCGUCUCUUUGAAGGUUCGUAGUGUUGCAGUUGUCAGCGCCUCGGAGGUCUACACAAGGCGGUCACAAGGCGGACAAACGCUCAAAUCCAGAAUGCUUCUGCUUAAUACUGGUGUGGGAGUGUAGUCUCAGGACUAUAAUGCCCCAGACGGCUCCCUGGUGGUGGUGGACCAGUCGUCUCUUGAGUAAAACUCCCGAGUCUGCACCAGUAUUCGUCUCGCCUCUCCCUUCCCAAAAGUCCUUCAGGGAGUCUCUACAGUUCUCACAAGAGACUAAACGGUUUCAAACUAGUUUAGUUCUAUAUUACGUCCAACAGUUCUCUUCAAGCGGCACUCUUGUCCUUCCAACACCUUCCUGCACUUGAAGUGCCCCAGCUCCCAUUCGCCCCUCACCCCCAGCUUGUCUCCCGGCCUUAAAGGCGACAGGGAACUCGACACUCCAUCCUGUGGAAUACCUGUGUGGUCCAGUUCGUGUGGAGAAGCGACUAUGAGGGCGGAGCGAGGGCCUGGAGGUGGUCACCCGGGUACACUGUCUGCACCAACUGGUCUCGCUGGAGGGCUCGGGUGACAACAGGGAAGGCCAAGAGGACCGUCUCGGGGCACUGAAGAACAUGUAUAACAAAGGCAUAAAGUGGCACGACAUUGCCAGCAUGUCGGUCUGUGGGACCAGCCUUUGAUAUUUUUUGCCAGAAAAUGGCCUAGUUUGCUGAAAGGUUAUAUUGUAAAAUAUUAAAAUUAAUUAUAGCACAAUUUUCUUGAAUACCUUACCUAGGUCUUUUGAUGCUUUGUCUAUACAACUUGCCACGAAAUACCUUAAUUAAGUUAGGGUAAUUUUGUUUAGUUUUAGGAAAAAAUUAA